UACGUAGGUGGCAAGCGUUGUCCGGAUUUACUGGGCGUAAAGAGCGCGCAGGCGGUCGUUCAAGUCGCGUGUGAAAGCCCCCGGCUCAACUGGGGAGGGUCACGCGAUACUGAUCGACUCGAAGGCAGGAGAGGGUAGUGGAAUUCCCGGUGUAGUGGUGAAAUGCGUAGAUAUCGGGAGGAACACCAGAGGCGAAGGCGGCGACCUGGACAGUAACUGACACUCAACUACGAAAGCGUGGGGAGCAAACAGG
RNAcentral lists this ribosomal RNA (253 nucleotides) under uncultured bacterium. RNAcentral describes it as "partial 16S ribosomal RNA". It matches the Rfam family "Bacterial small subunit ribosomal RNA", at positions 524 to 776 of the family's 1533-position model. The record is from RNAcentral.